GACGAACGCUGGCGGCGUGCUUAACAUAUGCAAGUCGAACGGAAAGGCCCUGCUUUUGUGGGGUGCUCGAGUGGCGAACGGGUGAGUAACACGUGAGUAACCUGCCCUGGACUUUGGGAUAACUUCAGGAAACUGGGGCUAAUACCUGAUAGGAGCUCCUGCUGCAUGGUGGGGGUUGGAAAGUUUCGGCGGUUGGGGAUGUACUCGCGGCUUAUCAGCUUGUUGGUGGGGUAGUGGCUUACCAAGGCUUUGACGGGUAGCCUGCCUGGGAGGGUGACCGGGCACAUUGGGACUGAGAUACGGACCAGACUCGUACGGGAGGCAGCAGUGGGGAAUAUUGCACAAUGGGGGGAAGCCUGAUGCAGCAACGCCGCGUGCGGGAUGAAGGCCUUCGGGUUGUAAACCGCUUUCGCCUGUGACGAAGCGUGAGUGACGGUAAUGGGUAAAGAAGCACCGGCUAACUACGUG
RNAcentral lists this ribosomal RNA (468 nucleotides) under uncultured bacterium. RNAcentral describes it as "partial 16S ribosomal RNA". It matches the Rfam family "Bacterial small subunit ribosomal RNA", at positions 28 to 507 of the family's 1533-position model. The record is from RNAcentral.